Molecule: ribosomal RNA, 449 nt
Filed under: uncultured bacterium
Lineage: Bacteria
Description: partial 16S ribosomal RNA
Rfam family: Bacterial small subunit ribosomal RNA
Source: RNAcentral
AAUGAACGCUGGCGGCAGGCCUAACACAUGCAAGUCGAACGGAUCCUUCGGGAUUAGUGGCGGACGGGUGAGUAACGCGUGGGAACAUACCCAAAGGUACGGAAUAGCCUCGGGAAACUGGGAGUAAUACCGUAUGUGCUCGAAAGAGGAAAGAUUUAUCGCCUUUGGAUUGGCCCGCGUUGGAUUAGGUAGUUGGUGGGGUAAUGGCCUACCAAGCCGACGAUCCAUAGCUGGUUUGAGAGGAUGAUAAGCCACAAUGAGGCUGAGAAACGGCACAGACUCCUACGGGAGGCAGCAGUGAGAAAUCUUAGACAAUGGGGGAAACCCUGAUCUAGCCAUGCCGCGUGAUCGAUGAAGGCCUUAGGGUUGUAAAGAUCUUUCAGGUGGGAAGAUAAUGACUGUACCACCAGAAGAAGCCCCGGCUAACUCCGUGCCAGCCGCCGCGGUAA